AUGUUAAGACUUGAGAGUAGGAUGAUUCAGAGUGUGCAGAAGCUCAGCUCCAGCCACACCCAACACCUGAAUCUGCGAAACCGCCAUACUACUGUGUCUGAUUUGUGCAGUUGUAUACGUCCCACGGCAUCCUGCGAGAAUCUAGGCAUAGCCGAUGGUGGAAAGUUUUUUGUGUCAUGUUUAGGUCAUUCUUCCGUAUCAGAUUUAUCUAUGCAAAGCCUUGACAAUGCUUGCUCUGUUUUUCAGGCAAAAAAGAAAAUCGUUGAUCGCUUGAGGCUUCUUAAAAAAAAGCUGGAUGUAACACAUGCAAUGGAAGCACAGGUACUAGUACUCCUGUUUUGA
RNAcentral lists this ribosomal RNA (342 nucleotides) under Triticum aestivum (bread wheat). RNAcentral describes it as "partial small subunit ribosomal RNA". The record is from RNAcentral. Lineage: Eukaryota; Viridiplantae; Streptophyta; Magnoliopsida; Poales; Poaceae.